CACGCAGUGGAUGUCGCGCUAUCGGCCAUCCCGCGGUCGCGGUGAUGGAUAAGAUGAGCCCCCGCUGCCCUUCGAUCCCCUCCGAACCCUAUUCCCCUCGUUUGCCUCCCCCCACGCAUCUCCCUCCCGAUCCCGAGCCCACCUGAGCAAAGCCGCCGUCACGCCAUUGUCGUAGACAUCCUCUGAAGCCCUAUAGCGCCGCACACUGUUGUCCAGGAGCAGCACCAUCGACCUCUACAUCGACUACAUCACCGGAUUGGACGAGAACGCCAUUGCAAUCGACGCAUCGUCCACCUAUUCACCCACGGCCGCCGCCACCAUUGCCGCUCGAUCCCUCAUCUCCAGUACGUUCCCGGCCACCUCGAGCUCACCUUCGGCACCGUGAUCCAAGGCAUGGAGAACUCCAAGGAGUUUGCUAACAAGUUGUUCGGGAUAUGUCGAGGCAGAGGAACAUUGAGUCGGAUGAAGGCAUUAACAAGGAUCGGCUCAAAGAGGUCUAGACGGAGAUUACUGACCACAUCUUGGACUAAGCUAUGUUCAGUUUAAGUCAAUCUAACAUACUGAUGAAAAUUUUCCUUUGGGUGUCUCACAUUAACAAGUGGAACAUGAACAUUGAUGGGAUGCUCACAGAAGAUGAGGUCAAGAAGGUGGCUACGCAAAUGAUCCCAAAGAGAAGACUACCGUUGGGCCUUUUGAUCGACCACGCGAUUCAAAAAGCUCUUUAGUGCAGUUUGCAACAACAAAAAUCAGAGGAUUGGUCGUUUGUAAGGGCGGAUAUCUCAGAGGCGGCAGCCACCCGGAUUGGAAUUUAAUUUCAAUCAAUUUCCCUGUCUGAAGUUUCAUACUAGAUGAGUUGCAAGUGGUACUAUGUUCCUACGCUGCGUCGACCCGAGCAGUUGCGAGAGCGAAUGAAGCUGCGGUUGCACGGACAAGCUUGUGGAGGUGUCAGUAUGCACGCAUGCGUCCCUGAUUUGGAUCAUGCCUCUGGCCUGGUAGGAUUCUUGCUCUGCCCCGACCUCAAGGGCGUUCGUCUAUCUAUGUCAUGCUCGGGAAAUGCAGGUGUGGUUCUUCAGCUUUUCUUUGUCUUUUUCUUGGUAUGUAUAUCUCUCAAUCUCGUGAGCCGUGAUUUUCAUGCUGCCACGUAUGCCAUUGUGUCUUGUAUAAUGAUUCUUCUUAUUAUUUUUGACUCGCAUAAUUAUUCUUAUCGAGGCACUGCCGCUGCCUAAUUUGCUUAUAGAAAUAACAUGCUAAUUAGUACAGGGAGAGAGUACGAUUUUUUGACACAAUCUGCAGUACCCGUGAGCCUGCCCAUAGAUUGCCUGCUAUAUUACCAAGUGCGUUGAAGGAAAAGCUGCUGCCACUAUUGAUGACCACUCUAGGUGAUAUAAUUCAUGUUUGCUUUGUUGUUUCAGCAGCUUCCUGUAGCAUAUUGGUUCCAUCUUUUUUUUGCAUCAUGGUACAUUAUUCUCAUCUUGAUAUAUAUCAUUUGGUCAACUGAAGAUUUGAGUGCAGGGUAGAAUUCUUGGUUGAUUUUAGAAUUUCGUUGUUGAUUAGUUGGCCAACAGACUUCGAUGAAAUUCAAGGCGUCAUUUAGUGUACUAUAUGUCAUAUUUGUCUUAUCUCUCAAUCUUGUGAGCCGUGAUUUUCAAGCUGCCAUGUAUGCCAUUGUGUCUUGUAUAAUGAUUCUUCUUAUUAUUUUUGAAUGGAAUAAUUAUUCUUAUUGAGGCACUGCCGCUGCCUAAUUUGCUUACAGAAAUAACAUACUAAUUAAUACAGGGAGAGAGUACAAUUUUUUGACACAAUUUGCAGUACCUGUCAGCCUGCCCAUAGGUACUGUAGCUUCCAUUCUUGUUUUCUCUCAUUGAAAUUAUGGAUUUGGAAACUAAUCAUGGAGUGUCUAGAUUGCCUGCUAUAUUACCAAGUGCGCUGAAGGAAAAGUUGUUGCCACUGUUGAUGACCACUCUAAGUGAUAUAAUUCAUGGUUGCUUUGUUGUUUCAGUAACUUCCUGUAGCAUAUUGGUUCCAUCUUCUUUUUUUGCAUCAUGUUACAUUAUUCUCAUCUUGAUAUAUAUCAUUUGGUCAAUUGAAGAUUUGAGUGCAGGGUAGAAUUCUUGGUUGAUUUUAGAAUUACGUUGUUGAUUAGUUGGCCAACAGACUUUUAUGAAAUUCAAGGCGUCAUUUAGUGUACUAUAUGUCAUAUUUGUCUUAUUUCUAUACUCAUAAUAUUUCCGCAACAUCUGAACAAAUGAUGCUAAAUUGAUAUAAUCAUUUUGGAUUAGUGUUAUCUUCUCAAUGCUGAACAGCCAAAAUAUAUACAUAGUGAGCAGUCCGACGCACAUGCUCAUACGUCAUAUUUAUGUACUAUUUAACACGGCAAAAAUUGGUCAAACAUUUAAACAUUUCUACUGUUUAACACAGCCAAAAUAUAUACAUAAUUAUCAGUCCUCUGCUGCAUGUUAGAUCCAGCCUCCCUCCCUUGACACCAUUCUUCUUACUUAUUAUUAUUUAUUUAAAAAAUAUCUUUAGUUUUAUUUUCUAGCUACUUUAAUUCAUUUGUAUAUGGUUAGUUCCAUCGCACUACGAGGAUGAUCCAUGGCUGGUCACGGACGAUCACCUGCGAGGACGAUUCAUGGCCGGUUGGGGAUGGUCAGUUCCAUCACACUGCGAGGAGAUGAUUCAUGGCCGGUCGAGGAUGGUCACCUGCGCCCGAAGGCCAACCUUAAUACUGGACCUCGAGAGGAGCAUGUGGCCAACCAUGCCGGAGGACGCAGAGGAGUUGUUUGGGAAUGUUAUCAUCAGAGGACCCAAGAAGCAGCCCACCAUGGAUGCAUGGACCAACCACGGAAGUCUAUUCUUGCAAUCCAUCUAUGGCGAGGGUUCAUGACAUACAAGCCAAUAGAUUUGGGGGUCCACUUCCCGGUGAAACAAAUGUUCAUUGCAGACAAUACGAAGAUGAUGAUUGGUACAAUGCGGUGAAUAUAUUAGAAUUUUUAUUCUUCUCUCUCCAUGUCUAUGUUUGUGCUUGAUCAACUGUCCACGCAAUGAUUUUAGUUGUACAAAGUCCUAAGCUGGUCUCACUAGGUCGUACCCAGUGGCGGAGACAGGGGGACCAGCAGGGACCUGGCCCCCCCUAACACCAUGAUUUUGCAUGUAAUUUGCUAUGAACAGUGGCAAAAUUAGUACUAAUUUGCUGCUAAAAAUCUAUUUUUCAACACUUUGGCCCUCCCCAACCUGUUUUAGUAGCACUUGGCCUCCCUUAUAGAUAUGUUCUGGCUCUGCCACUGGUUCGUACUCA
Triticum urartu is the source of this 3295-nucleotide non-coding RNA. NCBI's taxonomy places the organism in Eukaryota, Viridiplantae, Streptophyta, Magnoliopsida, Poales, Poaceae. The record is from RefSeq and is a predicted model, not a curated record.